This 807-nucleotide ribosomal RNA is filed under the name uncultured bacterium. RNAcentral describes it as "bacterial SSU rRNA". It matches the Rfam family "Bacterial small subunit ribosomal RNA", at positions 80 to 882 of the family's 1533-position model. The record is from RNAcentral.
UUGCUUCUCUUGAGAGCGGCGGACGGGUGAGUAAUGCCUAGGAAUCUGCCUGGUAGUGGGGGAUAACGUUCGGAAACGGACGCUAAUACCGCAUACGUCCUACGGGAGAAAGCAGGGGACCUUCGGGCCUUGCGCUAUCAGAUGAGCCUAGGUCGGAUUAGCUAGUUGGUGGGGUAAUGGCUCACCAAGGCGACGAUCCGUAACUGGUCUGAGAGGAUGAUCAGUCACACUGGAACUGAGACACGGUCCAGACUCCUACGGGAGGCAGCAGUGGGGAAUAUUGGACAAUGGGCGAAAGCCUGAUCCAGCCAUGCCGCGUGUGUGAAGAAGGUCUUCGGAUUGUAAAGCACUUUAAGUUGGGAGGAAGGGUUGUAGAUUAAUACUCUGCAAUUUUGACGUUACCGACAGAAUAAGCACCGGCUAACUCUGUGCCAGCAGCCGCGGUAAUACAGAGGGUGCAAGCGUUAAUCGGAAUUACUGGGCGUAAAGCGCGCGUAGGUGGUUUGUUAAGUUGGAUGUGAAAUCCCCGGGCUCAACCUGGGAACUGCAUUCAAAACUGACUGACUAGAGUAUGGUAGAGGGUGGUGGAAUUUCCUGUGUAGCGGUGAAAUGCGUAGAUAUAGGAAGGAACACCAGUGGCGAAGGCGACCACCUGGACUAAUACUGACACUGAGGUGCGAAAGCGUGGGGAGCAAACAGGAUUAGAUACCCUGGUAGUCCACGCCGUAAACGAUGUCAACUAGCCGUUGGAAGCCUUGAGCUUUUAGUGGCGCAGCUAACGCAUUAAAGUUGACCGCCUGGGGAGUA